Molecule: ribosomal RNA, 430 nt
Filed under: uncultured Bdellovibrio sp.
Lineage: Bacteria; Pseudomonadati; Bdellovibrionota; Bdellovibrionia; Bdellovibrionales; Pseudobdellovibrionaceae
Also listed under: 1 other name
Description: bacterial SSU rRNA
Rfam family: Bacterial small subunit ribosomal RNA
Source: RNAcentral
UGGGGAAUAUUGGACAAUGGGCGCAAGCCUGAUCCAGCAAUGCCGCGUGUGUGAAGAAGGCCUGCGGGUCGUAAAGCACUUUCAGCGAGGAAGAAAAUCCGCCGGCAAAUACCCGGCGGCUUUGACGUUACUCGCAGAAGAAUGCACCGGCUAACUUCGUGCCAGCAGCCGCGGUAAUACGAGGGGUGCAAGCGUUAAUCGGAAUCACUGGGCGUAAAGCGCGCGUAGGCGGCUCGCUAAGUUGGAUGUGAAAGCCCUGGGCUUAACCUGGGAAUGGCAUUCAAUACUGGCGUGCUUGAGUAUGAUAGAGGAAAGCGGAAUUCCCGGUGUAGCGGUGGAAUGCGUAGAUAUCGGGAGGAACACCAGUGGCGAAAGCGGCUUUCUGGAUCAAUACUGACGCUGAGGCGCGAGAGCGUGGGGAGCAAACAGG